UACGUAGGGUGCAAGCGUUAAUCGGAAUUACUGGGCGUAAAGCGUGCGCAGGCGGUUGUAUAAGACAGAUGUGAAAUGCCCGGGCGUAACCUGGGAACUGCAUUUGUGACUGUACGGCUAGAGUGUGUCAGAGGGGGGUAGAAUUCCACGUGUAGCAGUGAAAUGCGUAGAGAUGUGGAGGAAUACCGAUGGCGAAGGCAGCCCCCUGGGAUAACACUGACGCUCAUGCACGAAAGCGUGGGGAGCAAACAGG
Molecule: ribosomal RNA, 253 nt
Filed under: uncultured bacterium
Lineage: Bacteria
Description: partial 16S ribosomal RNA
Rfam family: Bacterial small subunit ribosomal RNA
Source: RNAcentral